UUGAGCCGUUGGUGAGAUACCACUCUAACAAUGCUAGGAUUCUAACCCUAUGUCGUUAUCCGGCUAGGGGACAGUUUCAGGUGGUCAGUUUGACUGGGGCGGUCGCCUCCUGAAAGGUAACGGAGGCGUGCAAAGGUUCCCUCAGGCUGGUUGGAAAUCAGUCGUAGAGUGUAAAGGCAUAAGGGAGCUUGAUUGUAAGACAUACAAGUCGAACAAAGACGAAAGUCGGCCUUAGUGAUCCGGCGGUACCGAGUGGAAGGGCCGUCGCUCAACGGAUAAAAGUUACUCUAGGGAUAACA
Molecule: ribosomal RNA, 299 nt
Filed under: uncultured eukaryote
Lineage: Eukaryota
Description: partial large subunit ribosomal RNA
Rfam family: Bacterial large subunit ribosomal RNA
Source: RNAcentral